RNAcentral lists this long non-coding RNA (607 nucleotides) under Vitis vinifera (wine grape). Its description in RNAcentral is "long non-coding RNA (VVIN_LNC004188)". The record is from RNAcentral. Lineage: Eukaryota; Viridiplantae; Streptophyta; Magnoliopsida; Vitales; Vitaceae.
GAUAAUAAAGGCCACACAUGUUUGUUGUUGAUUGGUUAUGAAUGGUUGAGGAUUACAGUUGAGGAUGAUUGUUUUCUUGAUGUGUUAGAAUCACGUUUAGGCUCAAGUUUAAUUCAUUCAUCGUUUUCAAUUUUGCACCAUGGUUGGUUGACUCUGUCAGUCACGAGGAACACCUGACCUUGCUUUGUUUGGUUCUCACUCAUCCGGGCUCGGAAUUGAGAACCGUUUCUUUUGUUUGCUUCCUUAUUCAUUUAGAAACUUUCUGACCAAAUUUGGGAUUUUUUAUCAACCGGAUGGACCAGUUGGAAACUGGUUCAACCGGUUCAGCACCAUAGUUGGCUGACUCUGUCAGUCACAAGGAACACCUGACCUUGCUUUGUUUGGUUCUCACUCAUCCAGGCUCGGAAUUGAGAAUCGUUUCUUUUUUUUACUUCCUUAUUCAUUUAGGAACUUUCUAACCAAAUUUGGGAUUUUUUAUCAACCGGAUGGACCAGUUGGAAACCGGUUCAACCGGUUCAGCACCAUAGUUGGCUGACUCUGUCAGUCAUGAGGAAUACCUGACCUUGCUUUGUUUGGUUCUCACUCAUCCGGGCUUGGAAUUGAGAAC